AAAGCUCCGGCGGUGCAGGAUGAGCCCGCGGCCUAUCAGCUAGUUGGUGAGGUAACGGCUCACCAAGGCGACGACGGGUAGCCGGCCUGAGAGGGCGACCGGCCACACUGGGACUGAGACACGGCCCAGACUCCUACGGGAGGCAGCAGUGGGGAAUAUUGCACAAUGGGCGAAAGCCUGAUGCAGCGACGCCGCGUGAGGGAUGACGGCCUUCGGGUUGUAAACCUCUUUCAGCAGGGAAGAAGCGAAAGUGACGGUACCUGCAGAAGAAGCGCCGGCUAACUACGUGCCAGCAGCCGCGGUAAUACGUAGGGCGCAAGCGUUGUCCGGAAUUAUUGGGCGUAAAGAGCUCGUAGGCGGCUUGUCACGUCGGUUGUGAAAGCCCGGGGCUUAACCCCGGGUCUGCAG
RNAcentral lists this ribosomal RNA (408 nucleotides) under Streptomyces sp. sp1. Its description in RNAcentral is "bacterial SSU rRNA". It matches the Rfam family "Bacterial small subunit ribosomal RNA", at positions 202 to 626 of the family's 1533-position model. The record is from RNAcentral. Lineage: Bacteria; Bacillati; Actinomycetota; Actinomycetes; Kitasatosporales; Streptomycetaceae.